RNAcentral lists this transfer RNA (75 nucleotides) under Deltaproteobacteria bacterium. RNAcentral's name for it is "tRNA-Ile". It matches the Rfam family "tRNA". Rfam says of the family: Transfer RNA (tRNA) molecules are approximately 80 nucleotides in length. The record is from RNAcentral. Lineage: Bacteria; Pseudomonadati; Myxococcota; Myxococcia.
GCCGCCGUAGCUCAAUUGGUGGAGCUCCGAGAGUAAUGACCUCGAAGGUUGCGGGUUCGAGUCCCGCCGGCGGCG